Molecule: ribosomal RNA, 460 nt
Filed under: uncultured bacterium
Lineage: Bacteria
Description: partial 16S ribosomal RNA
Rfam family: Bacterial small subunit ribosomal RNA
Source: RNAcentral
CCUACGGGAGGCAGCAGUGAGGAAUAUUGGUCAAUGGGCGUAAGCCUGAACCAGCCAAGUCGCGUGAGGGAUGAAGGUUCUAUGGAUCGUAAACCUCUUUUAUAAGGGAAUAAAGUGCGGGACGUGUCCCGUUUUGUAUGUACCUUAUGAAUAAGGAUCGGCUAACUCCGUUCCAGCAGCCGCGGUAAUACGGAGGAUCCGAGCGUUAUCCGGAUUUAUUGUGUUUAAAGGGUGCGUAGGCGGCCUUUUAAGUCAGCGGGGAAAGUCUGUGGCUCAACCAGAGAAUUGCCGUUGAAACUGGGAGGCUUGAGUAUGUUUGAGGGAGGCGGAAGGCGUGGUGUAGCGGUGAAAUGCUUAGAUAUCACGCAGAACCCCGAUUGCGAAGGCAGCCUGCCAAGCCAUGACUGACGCUGAUGCACGAAAGCGUGGGGAUCAAACAGGAUUAGAUACCCUUGUAGUC